CAGCCGCCACGGGAAUACGGAGGGUGCAAGCGUUAAUCGGAAUUACUGGGCGUAAAGCGCACGCAGGCGGUCUGACAAGUCAGAUGUGAAAUCCCCGGGCUUAACCUGGGAACUGCAUUUGAAACUGUCAGGCUGGAGUCUUGUAGAGGGGGGUGGAAUUCCAGGUGUAGCGGUGAAAUGCGUAGAGAUCUGGAGGAAUACCGGUGGCGAAGGCGGCCCCCUGGACAAAGACUGACGCUCAGGUGCGAAAGCGUGGGGAGCAAACAGGAUUAGAUACCCGUGUAGUCCCUGUCUCUUAUAC
This 301-nucleotide ribosomal RNA is filed under the name uncultured bacterium. RNAcentral describes it as "partial 16S ribosomal RNA". It matches the Rfam family "Bacterial small subunit ribosomal RNA", at positions 509 to 807 of the family's 1533-position model. The record is from RNAcentral.